GCGGUCGUAGUCCAGUCUGGUCUAGGACGCCAGCCCCCCAAGCUGGUGACCCGGGUUCAAAUCCCGGCGACCGCA
Molecule: transfer RNA, 75 nt
Filed under: Nitrososphaerales archaeon
Lineage: Archaea; Thermoproteati; Nitrososphaerota; Nitrososphaeria; Nitrososphaerales
Description: tRNA-Gly
Rfam family: tRNA
About the family: Transfer RNA (tRNA) molecules are approximately 80 nucleotides in length.
Source: RNAcentral